UAAAACCAGCUCUUCAAGUGGUCGGGAUAAUUAUUGGGCUUAAAGUGUCCGUAGCCGGUUUAGUAAGUUCCUGGUAAAAUCGGGUAGCUUAACUAUCUAUAUGCUAGGAAUACUACUAUACUAGAGGGCGGGAGAGGUCUGAGGUACUACAGGGGUAGGGGUGAAAUCUUAUAAUCCUUGUAGGACCACCAGUGGCGAAGGCGUCAGACUGGAACGUGCCUGACGGUGAGGGACGAAAGCCAGGGGAGCGAACCGGAUUAGAUACCCGGGUAGUCCCAGCCGUAAACGAUGCGGGCUAGGUGUUAGGGUGGCUACGAGCCACUCUAGUGCCGCAGCGAAGGCAUUAAGCCCGCCGCCUGGGGGAGUACGGCCGCAAGGCUG
This 381-nucleotide ribosomal RNA is filed under the name uncultured archaeon. RNAcentral's name for it is "bacterial SSU rRNA". It matches the Rfam family "Archaeal small subunit ribosomal RNA", at positions 471 to 851 of the family's 1478-position model. The record is from RNAcentral.